GGAGGAAUGAGUGUGCAUGACAGUACGCCGCCUGCGGGUAUGAAGUACGGCAGUCACGGCAACCUGCGCUGGGUUUUCCAGCUGUGGUCUCCUGAAUCCCACCUUGAACUUACUGCCAGAAGAUGAAAACUGCCCCAAGUCAUAUCGAGGAGGGCAACAAGGACUGCGCAGGGACCGUCUGAGGGAAAGGCCCUGAGCGCUUGGACCUGCCCCCACCCCCACCCCGCCCCGCCCCGCUGUCCCACUGUCAUCGCGGGGCCCUAGGAAGCCUGAACAGGAAUGGAAAAUAGCCAAAGCUGGGGGACCUUCCCUGAAAGGUGGUGACAGCUCAUGGAAGUGAGUACGGAUGGAAGUGGAGAGGCAUCUCGGAUUCUCUGGCCCUGCCUCACCCCAAUCCCAGUGAUGUUUGUGGAAGCUCCGCGCAUACUCCUGAAUCCAAACGUGCCAGAGCAGAUGAAACACCAAAAGCUCCCUCUUUAGUUCCCCAGGCUGU
Long non-coding RNA from Eubalaena glacialis (North Atlantic right whale), 493 nucleotides. RefSeq lists it as uncharacterized. The record is from RefSeq and is a predicted model, not a curated record. NCBI's taxonomy places the organism in Eukaryota, Metazoa, Chordata, Mammalia, Artiodactyla, Balaenidae. The transcript has 3 exons.